AUUGAACGCUGGCGGCAGGCCUAACACAUGCAAGUCGAGCGGUAGCACAAGGGAGCUUGCUCCCCGGGUGACGAGCGGCGGACGGGUGAGUAAUGUCUGGGAAACUGCCUGAUGGAGGGGGAUAACUACUGGAAACGGUAGCUAAUACCGCAUAACGUCGCAAGACCAAAGUGGGGGACCUUCGGGCCUCACGCCAUCGGAUGUGCCCAGAUGGGAUUAGCUAGUAGGUGGGGUAACGGCUCACCUAGGCGACGAUCCCUAGCUGGUCUGAGAGGAUGGCCAGCCACACUGGAACUGAGACACGGUCCAGACUCCUACGGGAGGCAGCAGUGGGGAAUAUUGCACAAUGGGCGCAAGCCUGAUCCAGCCAUGCCGCGUGUGUGAAGAAGGCCUUAUGGUUGUAAAGCACUUUAAGCGAGGAGGAGGCUCUUUUGGUUAAUACCCAAGAUGAGUGGACGUUACUCGCAGAAUAAGCACCGGCUAACUCUGUGCCAGCAGCCGCAGUAA
RNAcentral lists this ribosomal RNA (507 nucleotides) under uncultured bacterium. Its description in RNAcentral is "partial 16S ribosomal RNA". It matches the Rfam family "Bacterial small subunit ribosomal RNA", at positions 30 to 523 of the family's 1533-position model. The record is from RNAcentral.